This 490-nucleotide ribosomal RNA is filed under the name Stolas pictilis. RNAcentral's name for it is "partial 12S small subunit ribosomal RNA". The record is from RNAcentral. Lineage: Eukaryota; Metazoa; Arthropoda; Insecta; Coleoptera; Chrysomelidae.
ACUAAUAGUUCAAAUGAAUUUUUUUGGUUUAGAUUAAAUAGUUUAAUUAAAUUAAAAAAUUAUUUUUUAGGUGAAAUUUAAAAUAUUUAUUUUUUUUAAAAAAAAAAUUGAAGUCUAUAAAUUAAUAAAAAAACUAGGAUUAGAUACCCUAUUAUUAUAACUUAAAUUUUUUCCAUAUGAUUAAUAGUUAAGUUCUUUAAAGUAAAAAAAUUUGGCGGUAUUUUAUUCUUGUUAGAGGAACCUGUUCUGUAAUUGAUAUUCCACGAUAAAAUUUACUUUUUCUUUUAGUUUGCAUAUCGUUGUUUAAAAUAUUUUAUUAGGAUAUAUUUUUUUAUUAAAUUAUAAUAAAUUUCAGAUCAAGAUGUAGUUUAUGAAAAAGAAGAAAUGGGUUACAAUAAAAAUAGUUUUGGUUAAAUUUAUUUAAAAGAUUUAUAAAUUGGAUUUAAUUGUAAAUUUAUAUAUUUAUGUAAAUUGAUUAUAGUUCUAAAAU